RNAcentral lists this unclassified non-coding RNA (309 nucleotides) under plant metagenome. RNAcentral describes it as "partial contains 5.8S ribosomal RNA, internal transcribed spacer 2, and large subunit ribosomal RNA". The stretch from base 1 to 104 matches the Rfam family "5.8S ribosomal RNA", at positions 51 to 154 of the family's 154-position model. The record is from RNAcentral.
AAAUGCGAUAAGUAGUGUGAAUUGCAGAAUUCAGUGAAUCAUCGAAUCUUUGAACGCACAUUGCGCCCCUCGGUAUUCCGUGGGGCAUGCCUGUUCGAGCGUCAUCUACACCCUCAAGCUCUGCUUGGUGUUGGGCGUCUGUCCCGCCUCCUUCGCGCGCGGACUCGCCCCAAAUCCAUUGGCGGCGGCCCUUGCCUCCCUCUCGCGCAGCACAUUGCGCUUCUCGAGGCGCGGCGGACCGCGUACAGCAAGCAACCGUCACACCGUCUUUGACCUCGGAUCAGGUAGGGAUACCCGCUGAACUUAAGC